GAAUAUUGGACAAUGGGGGGAACCCUGAUCCAGCCAUGCCGCGUGUGUGAAGAAGGCCUUUUGGUUGUAAAGCACUUUAAGCGAGGAGGAGGCUACUCUAGUUAAUACCUAGAGAUAGUGGACGUUACGAGCAGAAUAAGCACCGGCUAACUCUGAGCCAGCAGCCGCGGUAAUACGUAGGGUGCAGGCGUUAAUCGGAUUUACUGGGCGUAAAGCGCGCGUAGGUGGCCAAUUAAGUCAAAUGUGAAAGCCCCGAGCUUAACUUGGGAAUUGCAUUCGAUACUGGUUGGCUAGAGUAUGGGAGAGGAUGGUGGAAUUCCAGGUGUAGCGGUGAAAUGCGUAGAGAUCUGGAGGAAUACCGAUGGCGAAGGCAGCCAUCUGGCCUAAUACUGACACUGAGGUGCGAAAGCAUGGGGAGCAAACAG
RNAcentral lists this ribosomal RNA (425 nucleotides) under uncultured bacterium. RNAcentral describes it as "bacterial SSU rRNA". It matches the Rfam family "Bacterial small subunit ribosomal RNA", at positions 359 to 775 of the family's 1533-position model. The record is from RNAcentral.